RNAcentral lists this ribosomal RNA (429 nucleotides) under Pseudomonadota bacterium. RNAcentral describes it as "Proteobacteria bacterium partial 16S ribosomal RNA". It matches the Rfam family "Bacterial small subunit ribosomal RNA", at positions 355 to 776 of the family's 1533-position model. Lineage: Bacteria; Pseudomonadati; Pseudomonadota. The record is from RNAcentral.
UGGGGAAUAUUGGACAAUGGGCGAAAGCCUGAUCCAGCCAUGCCGCGUGUGUGAAGAAGGUCUUCGGAUUGUAAAGCACUUUAAGUUGGGAGGAAGGGCAGUAAGCGAAUACCUUGCUGUUUUGACGUUACCGACAGAAGAAGCACCGGCUAACUCUGUGCCAGCAGCCGCGGUAAUACAGAGGGUGCAAGCGUUAAUCGGAAUUACUGGGCGUAAAGCGCGCGUAGGUGGUUCGUUAAGUUGAAUGUGAAAGCCCCGGGCUCAACCUGGGAACGGCAUCCAAAACUGGCGAGCUAGAGUAGGGCAGAGGGUGGUGGAAUUUCCUGUGUAGCGGUGAAAUGCGUAGAUAUAGGAAGGAACACCAGGGGCGAAGGCGACCACCUGGGCUCAUACUGACACUGAGGUGCGAAAGCGUGGGGAGCAAACAGG